RNAcentral lists this long non-coding RNA (26557 nucleotides) under Lactuca sativa (garden lettuce). Its description in RNAcentral is "long non-coding RNA (LSAT_LNC005718)". Lineage: Eukaryota; Viridiplantae; Streptophyta; Magnoliopsida; Asterales; Asteraceae. The record is from RNAcentral.
CUUGCCACUGAAAAGCGACGAGACUUGUUCGACAAGCUGUUCUCGUUGAGGACGAGAAGAUAAGUCGCAGACGCUUCCAGUAACGUUGAAGCCCUUUGCCGACCAUUCCUGUAACCGUUGAUUAAGUUCAGCUUCCUUGCGAGAACAGGUGUGCACCACCGCCCCUAACUCCGCCAGUUCCCCGACCACCACGUAGCCGAUUCCACGUGUACCACCGGUGACGAGAGCAGUUAUUCCGGCUAGAGACCAUCUGGAAUUUCGAGUUGCACCAAUACCAUUAAAACUUAGAGUAAAUUACACAAAUGGUCCCUAUGGUUUAGGGUAAUUUGCAUGUUUGGUCCCUAACUUAUUUUUUUAACUCGGAUAGUCCCUAUUGUUUGUUUUUGUUACACAUUUGGUCCCUGUCUUAUCUAAAAAGACUAUUUUGCCAUUGAUUUUUUAAUUUAUUUAAAUAAACACACCCCAACCCCCACCCCCUCACCUUACCUUACCUACCCCACAACUUUUUCCUAUUUAAAUAAUAGUUUUUUUUAUGUAAGAUAGGGACCAAGCACGUAACAAAAACAAACAGUAGAGACCAAACAUGUAACAAAAACAAACAGUAGGGACCAAACACGUAACAAAAACAAAUAGUAGGGACCUUCCGAGUUAAAAAAAUAAGUUAGAGACCAAAGACGCAAAUUACACCAAACCAUAGGGACCAUUCGUGUAAUUUACUCUAAAACUUACCGAUGCCUUCGUCGUCAUUGAUUCUUUACAAAUUACAAUGGCAACUGCUUCUAAGAUUUUGUUCCUUUUAUGGAAUCGAAUUACUUUUUCACCAACUUUCAAGAAUUACAAAGUACAAACACUUCAAAUUUUAUUGUCAUCUUUUGAUUAUUUGGAAUGUUUAAAGACUUAUAAACACUUCAAAUUUUAUUUUCGUCUUUUAAUUAUUUGAAGUGAAUAAACACUAUAAAGAAGUGUAAAUAUUUCAAAAUUUAUUGUUAAAUAAACACUAUAAACACUUCAAAUUUUAUUUCGUUUUUUUUAUUAUUGUCAUUUUAUGUCUUUUGACAUUUUCCAUUUUUACUUUUUCUUUCCCUUUAUAAUAUUUUUUGUUUUUCAUAUAUUUUAAUUUAUUUAUUGUAAAACUAAUUUAUAAAAUUACUAUUUUUAUUUUUUAUUAGAUUAUUAAUAUCUCUAAAUAUUAUUAAAAGAGAACUUUUAAUUCACUAAUGAAACAAUCAAGGCCAUUGAUUGUAUUUCAAUCAUAUGAUUUUCACCAUUAGAUCAAAUUGAUCACAUCAUCUUCUCAAAAUAGAAUUCAAACAUUUAAUUAUAGAAUCUUUAAAUUUACCAAUUACAUUUCAAUCACAAUUAAAUAAAAUUAUGGAAUCUUUAAUUAUAGAAUCUAUUCAUACUUUCGAAAAUAUAUUUCACAAUUCGGGCAUAAUUACAUUUAAUUGUAGAAUCUUUAAAAUCAGCAUUAUGUUAUCAAUUAAAGCAUAUCAUUCUAUUUAUAUAUGAGUAUCGGUUUCUCCAUAAAUCUGGCCAAAAAUAUGAAUAACCGCCUCUAUUUUUCUCUUAAACCAGAAUUCCUAAUCUUCUUCUUCUUCAUGUCAAUGGUUGUACUUCAAUUGAUGUUUUGUGUAUUCAUAACAUAAUGUAACACCAUAAGGUGGUUCCUUUUUCUCAUGUAUUCUUAGAAUUUGCAUAUUGCCUCUUUCUUGCAUCUCCAAUUAUCACACCUCUGUUUUAGCUUCACACAAAUCUCUACAAACUGAAGCAAGCAUCUCCUUCAAGACAUCUUUUGACGAUCUAUGUCAUCAUUAACCCUAAUUAAUAUUGUUCAUAAUUUAAUUCAAUUAUUUAUAGUUUUUGGCUUCAAAAUUUAAACCUGAUUAGUUUUUUCUUUUUAAAAAAACUCAUUAAAUAAGCAUAUCAAUAAUUAUGUUAUCUUUAAUAUAUAUUAAAACAAAAAUCUUAUGAUAUCAUCUGAAACAAUUUGGGUCAUUGAUUGCAUUUCAAUCUUAUGUUUUCCACCAUUAGAUCAAAUUUGUGACAUCAUCUUCCCUAAAUGGAAUGUAUUUAAUUCCAAUAAAAGUUUUCCAAUUGUCAAACAAAAUUAACUUAAAUCCAUUGAAAUAGAAUGUAUUUAAUUUUAAUAAAUUUCCCCCUAUUUUAAAUCUUGAAUUUUCGGUUAUAAAGGUUUUAAAAUAGUCAACUUUAAAAACAUAUUACUGAAAACCAUUUCAAUUAAGACAUUAAAUAUCAACCAUUAAUAUAAAUCCGUUUAUAUUAGCAAACCAUUAAUAUAAAAUACAUUUUUAUUAGGAAACCAUUAAUACCAAAAAAUCAUAUCCAAAUUAUCACAUACAUAUAUGAUUCAUCCUUGAAUUUGUGGCUCACACUUAUUUUCGAUCGUUGCUUUUCUUCAGACCUUCUCCUACAACAUCAUUCUUAUUGUUUAUCACUUCCAUCAUCAUUAUCUGCUUCAAUCCUUCAUUGUUGUGCACUAGAAGGUCAGUACCUUCUUUCGCUUUUUUAUAUUUUUUUUUUCGAUUAUUUUUUGUUCCCGUAUCAAAUAUACGUAUUCAUAUAUAUUUUGAUAUUCUUUGUCACAACUUACAUGAAAUCGAUUAACGUCAUUCAGUCUAGAUUAAGUCGAACAAAACAAAAUUGUAUAAUUUUUCAUAUUAAAUUCUUAGCCUAUUAACUUGGACUCGAUACUCAACAACCUUUACAAACUGCAAUAGUUAUGUGAUUUUUUUUACAAUUUAUAGCAACAUAAUUACCAUGAAAAAAGAACUUUUAAUUUAAACUACAACUUAGUUUUUUAUCGGUAACAACAAUAUACAACACUUAAUAUCAACAUCAUUUCCUACCGGUUUCUCUAAAUANGAUAUUAAUAAUGAACCAUAUCAAAAGUAGGCUAAGAAGUUAGAAUCUAAACUAGGAAUAAUCUUAUUUCCUUGAAUAUCAUAUUUACGGUAUUAUAGAAAAUUUUUAGUUGAUCGUAGAAUCAAAUUGCAUAAUUACAGUUAACAUUGUUUUUAUUAAACUUUGUAUGUAGGUAUGAAACAGCAAUAAGUAUAUUUUUGAAGGAACAUUGUUUAAAAUAAUUUGUAUAAUCUAAAUACAUGUUAAUUUAGUUCAUUUCUAUACUUUCCUGUAACAUUGGAAUUUUUUAUCAUGUUACAUUCAAAAUAUGGGUUAUUAGAACAGACACCUUAGGUGUUUGACGAAAUGUCUCAAAGAAUCUGACACAAGUUCUCUACGCUCACCUCACAACCAUGUAUAAAUUUUGGUUUUUUUUUUCUAGAUUUUUAGCAUCAUGUGUUUUUUAUGUUUGCAACUUUGUAGUGUUACAUGUUUUUUUGUCUCAUCCUCAGGUUUUUCUAUCUCUGAUAGGGCUUCAUUUUUUAUAUUUAUUGUAAACUAUCGAUUCAAUCUAUGUCACUUUGUUAUGACUUUUAUCAGCGUGAUAAGAUUUUAAUAAAUUGUCCAUUUCUUGAUCUUUUAGAAAAAGAUGUUCUAACUGGAUUAUCANUUUAUCAUCUACGACCGUAGUAUUCUAUUUUCUUGAUGAAGCGAUCUAUGAUUUGGCCAUGAUGGUUUUUACGGAUUAUGUUUGGACUGAUAAUUGUUCUUGUCAUCAAAAAAAUACAUCCAACAAAAAGUGAAAGAUAAUUUUUUUAAUUAAUACCAACAUUUAACUUUAAAUGAUUUUUUUCAACUUUGAUGACAUGUAACAGAGUUUUGGCUGAAAUUUUCAAUUUUGUCGGCAUAUAACAAGUUAUAACUUAAAUAAUGAUAUUAGAUAUCUAGGCAAUCAGGUUUUCUUCGGUUCUUAGAUUAUUUUGCAGAAAGUUGUUCAAUUUGGUAUUAUUGAUCUCACAAAAGGCAAGUCUCAUGUCUUUUUUAGCAUAUCCAUUGAGUUUAAUAGUUUAUUGUUCAUAUUUGUUUUUUUUUUAAAUGUUAAAUCUUGUUUUAGUGAAUGCAAGUCAGUAGGAAGUAAAGGUGCAAGAAAAGAAAAAUAAUAAAUAUGGGAUGAUCAUGAUUAUUUCAAGCCAAAAUAAAAUUCUAAAGUAACAAAUGCUAAAUUUAAAAGAUAAACACUUAUAAUGCAUAAUAUAUAUUAUACUUCCCAAAUAAGUAACCAAAAACUAAUCUCAUCCCCAAAUAAAUUACAUAUUAACUAACAUCAAUAAAUUAUGAUUAUAGUGUCUUGAUUUUUAAUUAUACAUUAUAGAGAGUCGGUUAAUAUGUAGUCAUUAUUUUUAUAUUCGUAUCGGUUUUGAACUACAAAAACUAUAUUCAAAUAAUAAAAAUGAAAUGUAACAUAUACGAUGGUAAUAAUGCAAAAAUAACCUUCAAAUUUGGUUUGAUACAAAAAAAUAGUCUAAAACUUAUUUAUAAAAGCAACAAGAAAUAACAACGAACUUUCAAAAAGAAAUGAGAAAUUGCAACUAACUUUUAAAAACUAUCAAGAAUGUAUAAUAUAGGAUGAUAAUAAUGCUUAAAAACACCGAAUUUGGUCUGAUGCGAAAAAAAGUAAUUUUAUAUGAAAGUAGGAUUGCAGUAAUACUAAAAGAACCUAUAUGUUUUUUAUCUGAUGCAAAAGUGGUCGAAACAUACUUCUAAAUUGGCAAGAAAUAUCAAUGAACUUUUAUUUCAUCUUGAAUAACCAUUUAAUAGAUAUAUAUGAAAGAUAUGAAUACUCAGCAGUUAAGACCAUAGACCUUACUCAAACGUCCGCAAAUGUCUUGAAGUAAGCAUUCAUUUUUCCAUUAUUUUAUCAUUGUCAUAAAAUAAAAAUAAAAAAUCAUCAUUUGUUUAAAUUGUUUAAUUCGUCUCAUAAUAACAAGUAAGUUGUGUGUCAAUUAUAUAUUUUGACAUUUUCAAUAAGUUAUGGACAAUAUCUAAAUCGAUCAAGCAUAAAUGUUUUUAUAUUUCUUUGUCAGAGUUUUUUUUUUUUUUUUUUUUUUUUUUUUUUUUUUUUUUUAAUUUNUUGCUAUUUUUUAAAAUAAACAAUUCUAUUUCGCAAUAUAACCAUAAAAUAACAAUGUAUUUUGAAAGUACAUUGUCAAACGUUGGAUUAUACUUGCGUAGACCCGUUUUGCGCAUAUGUAGUUGUUUCCGGUGUCACAAGUAAAAAAUGUUUGAAGUUACUUUGUGGCGAUGAAGGUCGUUCAACUAAUAAAACAAAAAAUAUUGUUUACAAAGAGGUCCUUCAACGACUAUAUAUAUUUACCAACCUCAGUGUAUUUUAUACACAUUUCAAUAAUAUCAAUAACCCUGAUUUUUUUAUAAUUAUUCUGCAAUAUCUAUAUACAUUUAUAUUUUAUUUAUGCGUUUUCCACGUUUAACGCGGGUCAUAAGCUAGUUUAAUAUUAUAUUAUUUACUUUUAUUAGUUUAUUAUUUUAUUUGAUUUUUUUUUUUAAAUUUUCAUGACUUUUCGUUUGGAUUAUUAUUAUUAUUUUUUAACUAUAACAUAAAUUAAUAACAACAAAACAUCCUCAUUUUUUAUUUGAAAUCUUGUUAGUGUUAUUAUUGAUUUUAUAAAUCCGUUUCAAUUUUAUAUUUUUUUGUUGCUAUUUAAAAUAUUUUUAGACUUUUUACAAAAGUUUUUUUUUAUAAGGCUUUUUACAAUCAUUUUUAAACUUCUUUUAGUCUACUAUGUAUGGGCAACACUAUAAGGCGUUAUGUUGAUUUGGCAGUUCCCAUAACGGCGCCAUAACAUCGGAAAACCACCCCCCUUUUAUGUUAUUUGGUGUUAUGUUAAGAAAUGUUACCAUGCCGACGGGAAGUAGCGUGAGAAUCAACCAAUCAAAAGUCAUUAUCUCACUCUCUCUCUCUAACUCUCUUUGUAUCUCUUAACAUGUUAUAACAUCCUUCUUAAUAAAUGAAAUUUUUUUUUGCCCCAUGUCAAUCUCUCAUUAGUUUUAACACUUGUCAUUUUGUGGAAUUUUUGAAAUAAAUAUUAUCCACUUGUCAACUUUUGAUUUGUUUCAAUUUUUAAAAUUAAACUCAUAUACUUAUAUAUGUAAAAUAUUAAAUAUCAUAUAUAUAUAUAUAUAUNUCUAAAAUUGUAUAUUAAAAAAUAUUUUUUAUUUAUACUUUAAUAUUUAAUCUUUUUUUAAAUCAACUCGUGUAUUACACGGGUUUCACACCUAGUGUUAAAACAUUUGCACAUCAUUUUCUACAUAAAUCAAAUGGUGUUAAAGAUGACAUGACAUAUGAGUUGGCAAAUUUUGGGUAUGAUAAUAUGUCUUAACAUAUUGUCCACACCCACCAACCUUACAAGUUUUUUCUACAAACUAUUACACAACCUUUACUUUUAAUAAAAGCUCUAACUUUUUUAGACUUUCUAUACAAUAUUUUUUAAAUAUCUUUAAUUCUUCUUAAACUUCAAAGCCUAUAAAUGUUGAAAAUACUAUAAAUAAAUAAUUUUAAAAGAUUUAAAACAUUAUAAAAACAUAAGUUUUAAAAACUUUUUGAAGCUUUUUAAACCUUUUAUAAAACCUCUAAAAGAACUCAUCAUUUUUAAACAUUUUUACUUACUAUUCAAACUUUUUAAACGUUUUUUCUAUGUUUUUUCAACAUUUAUAGGUAAAAAAAGUUUAAAAUUAAAAUUAAAAUUAAAUAAAAGACUAGUGUUAACUUUUAAAUACGUGGUAAAAACAUUUGUUAAACAGUAAAUAAAAUUUGUGCAAAAAUGUUUAAAUGUUAUAAAAAAAAUAUUAUAAAAAAAGUUGUAGAAACUAAUAUUAGUUAUUAUUAGAAAGUAUUAUCAUUUAAAAAUAACAAAUAAUUAUUAGCUUUGACUAAGGUUAUGUAGAAUGGGCUCAACAUUGCAUCAACAACAGUCGAGUUAGCUCGACAAAUACUGUGCCUUCAACUCGACAUGUCGAGCUCAGCAGUCCAAGUCAGUAACAACCAUAAUAUAUGAGACAAAAACUAUUUUAUCAAAAGAAAUUGAUUAUUUACCCUUUUUCAAAAAUACUAUUUUAACAAAAAAUUCAAAAUUUUAAUCAUUUUUCAACCAAUAUAAUAAAUACCUAUAAUCUUUUAUAUCACACCAAAACCAUUAAUAUUCUUCUUUAUCUAUCAAACAUUCAAGUAUUCAACAUCCAAUCUUAAAAAUGACUUCCUCUAACUUUCCAUCCAGCCAAAAAACUCUAAGAAUAAAUAAACAAAAACCUCCUACUAUAAAUAAUUCAAACCCUUUAUCAUUCAUCUUCCACCGAACUUAAAUGGAUCGUCCUAUAUUUUCACCACCUACGUUCCAUUAUCCUAGUGUCGAUCCAUAUUAUAAUCCAUGUCCUAGCCAAUCUAAUCCCCAAUUCCAUUCCUAAACCGAUUUUAACCCAUUUGAUGUCAUUCAAGAAACUUAACUCUAAUUCCAAUUCCAAUCUCAACCCCAAUUCUAAUCCUAAACCUAGUUCCAAUCCCAAUCCCAACCCUAAUCUUAUAUCCUAUCUGAAACAGAUUUCAAGCCUGGGGAAUACCAACAAAGUUGUCAUGGAGUUUAACGUCUAAUUUAUGAAUUGGAAGUAUGAUUGACAAAGUGGUACAAAUAAUGCAACAACACUUUAACAAGGCUUUAGAAGUUUACCGACAUGAUAUGGGGAUGCCUUUCAUUAUUUUUAGAGUUUUGGAAUAUUACGAAGGAGUCUAAAACUGGGUUGAAGUCAAAACUUUAGACUCAUAGGUGGUUCUAAAAGAACCAAAACAUCUUAAACCACCUAUAAAUAAUUGUCGAAUGCAUAUAUCAGGUUAGACCUCAACUAAGAUGAACCGAGUGAGGUUCAUAUGUCGGAACUAAGCUCAGUACAUUUUUCACCUAAAAUUCCCAUGAAAGAAUUGAAUUUCACAAACUCAUCGCAACUCAUUGCGACACCCUCUGCAAAACGUAAAGUAUCCAUACAUGAGUAUAUAUUGUAUGAUAUAUGUGGAGUCUCAUAUUAACUCUCCAAAAGAGCUUUUGUGGAGAGAAGGGAGACUCCAAAGCAUAUAGCUAUUUAUAAGACUACGUCACACCGAUGAGAGAUACACUAACACUCCCUCAGAGUUGGAUGUUCGAUAAAGAUAGACAUGAAUGUGUUGGGCCAUGGGGGUACGGGACAUCGAAUUUGAUAUCAUGUAAAAUAUAUAUGUAGUCUUAUAUUAACUCUCCAAAAUAGCCAUUGUAGAGAGAGAGAGAGAGAGAGAGAGAGAGAGAAGAAACUCUAACAUAUAUCUUGUCUAUAAGACCGUGUCGCACCAUUAUAAGAUGUACACUGUCAUAUAAGUGUGAUUACCAUGGGUAGAUAUACAGUGGAUCCCCGGGUAUCCCGGGAUGCCCAUCAAAAAAAUUUUAAUAGUAUAAAUUUUUUCAGACAAUUUCGUUUAUGUUGCGGUCCUUAAUAUUAAUUUGUUUAGUGAAAAUAACAAAAGUUGUAUUUAGUUCAGUUGAUUAUGAUGAUAUGGUGUUUUUCUGGAGGUUUCAAGUUCAAAUAUUCUUUUUAACAUUUAUUUUCUUUUAUUCUCGCAACUAUAUAAAAGUAAUUUAUAUAGCAUUAUACAGAUUUUAUACAUAUUAUAUUAUGAUAUGAAAAUUAAAUACAAAUAUCGAGAUGUCCAAGUUGUAAAAUGUUGAGCUUUUAAGUUAGAUGUACUUAUGUCGAAUCCUAACAUUGACAAGUGUGUAUUUUAUUUUGUUUAUCAAUUUCUAUCCUAUAUUCUUUCAACUUAUUUCUUAUUUCUUACUAUAAUUUUAAAAUUGUCCUACGUCAGCCAUAACAUGAAACAUAAUUUCUAUACAUCUAUUAUAUAAGCAACACAUGCUUCUUAACUCUCAACAAGUUAAAAUUUUGAAUGAGUUUGCGUUUAAACCCAAAACCGAGUUUAGAAAACUGAAAAACCAAACUCAUUUAUUUGGGAUACCCCUCUAUUUUGACCUUGAAUAUGCACGAUGACGAGUACUUGUUUUUGAUCAUACCAUAAGGUGACAUGUCCUAUUUCAAAAAAAGACUCGAGGCUAUAAGAAAAGAACGCCUUUUUUUUUUUUUUUUUUUUUUUUUUUUGUGUGUGUGUGAUUUAUAUCCAACGUUACAAGUAUGGUCCCUCAUAUUUAUUAUUUUAUACACAGUGUAUCCUUCAAUUAUUUUGUUAAUGCUUAAUAUUUUUAGAACAUUACAGAUUAAUCCCUUUGAGUUUCAUAAAUAUCUAUUAAACUCCUUAAAUUAAAUUAAAUAAUAAUUAAACCCUUAUAGUUAAUUUACAUAUCAAAUAAACCUCAUUGUAUUUUAAUUUUCAUAUUUGCAAAUUUUUAUUAAGUAAACUAAAUUCAUAAAUUACGAUAUAUAAUUAAAUAACGAUAAAUGGGUGUUACAUUAUAAAGUUUUGGAUUUGUUAUUCGAAUUAUGGAAAUGAUAAUGAAAUUUUGAAAUAUUAUUAUUAUUAUUAUUAUUAUUAUUAUUAUUAUUAUUAUUAUUAUUUAUAAUCUAUAAUCUAUAAUUUAUAAUUUAAANNNNNNNNNNNNNNNNNNNNNNNNNNNNNNNNNNNNNNNNNNNNNNNNNNNNNNNNNNNNNNNNNNNNNNNNNNNNNNNNNNNNNNNNNNNNNNNNNNNNNNNNNNNNNNNNNNNNNNNNNNNNNNNNNNNNNNNNNNNNNNNNNNNNNNNNNNNNNNNNNNNNNNNAUAUACACACCAGUGUUACAACCCAUACAAUAUAUACGGUUGAAAAGAUAAAAUAAAAUUGAAACUUUAAAAAACAUAAUAUGAAUUAUUUUUAAAUUUAGUUAGAUAUUACGGCAAAAAUGUCUCUUUAAAAAAUAUAGAAACAAAAACGAUUAUCAUUUCAUAUUUUUUCUAAGGUUGCUUAGUUAACCGAGUUUGAGUAACUAUAUGAACGGUUUGCCUUCACUGAAUUGUUAAAAAAUGAAGAUACAAAUAUGAAAUUAAAAGUAAUAGGUACUAAAUUUGAUUCCUAUAUCAAUUCCAUUCUCAAUAUAAUAUGAAAAAAUUUUAAAAAUAUAAGUUCAAUCUUCUAUAGCAUGGAAAAUAAUGGAAAAUAAAAAGUUAUCUAAUUUGGAAGCUUUUGUUUUAAAAUUUUUAUAAAUAUUUUAAAACUAAAAUAAUACAAUAUUACUAACCUGGUUUAUUAACAUUUUUUAUACAAUCACACUAAAAUAGCCGUCAAAAACUAUCAAUUUGCUAAACUUUCAACUAAAGAAUGGAACACAGUUAUUACAAAUAUGAAUUGCAUGAGUAUUUUUUUUCUUUUGAAAUGGCAAAUCUAACCUACUCCUACUACACCUUAAAUCUACCUAUGUCUACGACGAGACUUGAACCCUCAACCUUAAGGAGAAAAGACAACACCGGAUACCACUAGACUGAAAGCCCUUUGAUAAUUGAACAAGUAUCUGGUGAUAGUUGAAACUAAGUUACCAUAUUGAAAAAGAUUAUUGUUAUAUGAUAAAAUUAAGUUACCAACUCCUUUAGCAUUUUGUUUAUUUACAAAAAUUCCCCUACAUAUACAAUACAUAUACAAUAAUGAGUCGUCACAUUUCAAAAAAAAAAAAAAAUCAAUACUAAGCAUUGCAAAUCUGUACAACGUGCAUAUUAGUUGUUGCAAUUCAAUCUUAAAAGCAUAACACAUAUAUUAUAAGGCCCCGUUUGAUAUGCAUCUUUCCAGGUCCAAACAGAUCUUUCUGGCUAAAUGGACCGGAAAGACUGUUUGAUUUGCACAAAGAAAUGAGUAUUUCCCGGUAAGAUAUGUCUUUCCCAGAAAUCCCCAAAAUCAUAUCUUUCUGGCUGAAUGGGCUGAAAAGACAAUUAUGCACCAAACCCCGUCUCUUUCUUUCUUUAUUAGAUUAUUAAUUUUUUAAAAUUUUAAAUAACUUUUUUUAAAGUUAUAUUUUGUUGAAUUAUUACUUUUUUCAUCAUUCAGCACAGUCAAUCAGAUGUACAAUCAAACAACAUGGUUUCUUUCUCAGUCAGAAAACUUUCCCAGACAGCACUUUACCAGACAAAAACUAUCAAACGGGACCUAAAUUUUAAUUUUUGAUGGAAUAUCGAAAAUUAAAAUCUGUCAUUGUUGUGGAUUGGUGGGUAUCUGUGGGUACUUAGCAUUGAUGAUGGACCAUCUAGCGUAGAAAUAAAAGAAAGAGGCAAAAUGAUUUUUCAAUAUAAAAAUUCACAAGAAUUUAAAUAGGGACAAUUUUGGAACAUAAUGUAAGUUGAUAUAUGACAAUCACGUGAAAGUAUGAUGCUACAUUGUUAGAAUAAAACGUACACACAAACAACAACACUAACACACACACAACAACAACAACAAUAAGAAACACACACCCACAGUACAUUAACACAUCCACAUCCACAAUGAAACACCAGCCAAAAUAAGACAAAGAGUAAAUUGCUUCAAGUUCUUGUUUUCUCUCUUUAAUUCUUGGGAGACUAGUCUCAUCUAAUUAGCUUCUAUCAUUUGGUGCUUUCAUUUCUCUCAGCAUGCCUCCCACAAAUGAGCAACUCCAGACCCUUCUCCACCUUACCACCACCACUAACCACCGGCUUGACACACUCACUACAAACAUGAACACCCUUGUCACCAUCCUCACCGAUCAACAAAACAGCCAGCCCCCUCCACCCCCACCGACACUGUCGCCGCCGUCGCCACCACUGCCACAACAACAACCAAGACCACCAAAAAUCUUUCUUCCCAACUUUGAUGGUACCAACCCACUUGACUGGUUGUUCCAAGCGACCAACUACUUUGAGUACUAUGCAAUUCCGCCACCACAACGACUUUCACUUUCAGUUUUUUAUUUUACCGGCGAAGCUUUGAGUUGGUACAAACAUUUGGCUAACAACCAAAUGCUUGGUACAUGGGCAGAAUUUUCUCGAGCAUUGGAAUUGUAUUUUGGCCCAUCUACAUAUGUGAAUCAUCAAGCUACACUCUUCAAGCUUACACAAACUUCCACCGUUUCGGUAUACCAAGUCGAUUUCGAGAAAACUAGCAAUUGUGUUGUCGGCCUCACCCCGGAAGCAUUGCUGAAUUGCUUCUUAUUCGGCCUUCGAGAUGACAUUCAAAAUGAAAUAGCACUCCAAAAACCCACCACCCUUCAUCAAGUUCAUGGUCUUGCGAAGCUCAUUGAAGACAAGCUUUGUGCUCUACUUCCAUCUUUGGAGGGUUCCCUUGCGACUCCACCAACGAAACCACCUUUAUUGCCCGCUCCGAUCAAGCAAUUACGUCCCAUCGAGAUGCAAAAAUGACGAGCGGAAGGUUUAUGCUACAAUUGUCCCGCAAAAUACCAAUCGGGUCACUAAGGCAACCCACCAAAAUUUCUCCUUCUUCAGUCGGAGUCUGACCCGCCAUGGACUUCCGUUGCCCAUCAUGAUCUCAGCCUUGAGGACAAUGCCAUUUUUCAGGGCGGGAGUAUUGAUACUAACACCUUUAUGCACUAGGCCACAUUGUUUUUAAUUAGUCAAACAAUAUUUGCAUUUUAUUAGGAACCCAUUAUUUUAUUUGCACGCAUGUUUCCUAUUUCUUAGUUAGUGGUAGUAGUGGUAUGUUUUCAUAUGUAGUUCACUAUAACUUUCGUUGAAGGCAAGAAUGAAAACCGAAAAUUGCUGCAAGUACUUGUCUUCUCUCUUUAAUUCUUGGGAGAUUAUCCUCCUCUGAUUAUCUUCUAUCACUAAACAACCAUCGAACGAUGAUGAUAACACCACCUCCUUACCACUGCUUCAAGGAGGUGUUUGAGAUUACUUUUUAAACCAAAAAGUUCUUUUUAUAAAAGUUCUUUUCUUAAAAAUUAUUUUAAGAAGUAAACGUUAAAAUUUAUUUAAAAAAAAUGUUUGGAUGAUAUUUCUUGACUUCUGAAUGUCUUUUACAUUUUAAAAAGCCAAAAGUCACAAAAAGAUACAAUUUCGGGGGUGUUUGCUUAGCUUUUCACAGCCCAAAAGUCCUUUUUGGAAAAGUUACAAAAAGUCAGGAUUUCCUGACUUUUCCAAAAAGUUCAAUUUUCUUUUAUAAAAACUCCAAAAGUAGUUUUUAAAACUAGUUUUGCCAAAUAUCUUUUGCUUUUUUUCUUUUCUAAAAAGGACUUUUGGCUGUGAAAAGCUAAGCCAAAUACCCCCUUCAUGACUUUUGAAAAACCUUUUUUUUUUGUUGGCAAAAAGUUAUUUUGAAAAGUUAUUUUCUAAUUCCCAAACAUCUUUUGAAUUUUUUAACUUUUUGAAAAAGCUAAAAAUCAAAAUGUUAUUUUAAAAGCAAUCCCAAACACCCUCCAAGGGUCGCCACUGGUUGCACUUGAUGAACCUAAACAACAACAUAAGUGGAUAUUUUUAUUGGGAGGAAGUGCAUGUACGAACUGAUUCAUGGGAAAAUCGAUUUGAUGUCCUUCCUAACCCUCAAUCCUAAUUUGUUUUCAUCUAUUUAUAUAUGUUUUUCUCGAGAUAUUGCAACCAACCCGUUCAUUAACCAAACCCUAGAAUCUUGACAUAUUGAUAUCAGAAUCAGAAAAUUGAUACUUGAAGCCAACUAAAACCUAAAAGCUGUAAUCAACUCCAAACCCUAAACUUUCAAAUUAGAACCCACAGAUCGUAGUAGAAGAAAGAACCUAAAAAAUCAAACGAUAAUCCCAUUCACCACCACCAGAUUGAUGCCUAAGGGCCCAUUUCUUUUCAUAAAUCCAAAUCAGCUCAUCUGAAAUCGAAGAAGGGAUUUUUUAGAAAUCGAAAUCGAAGACUCCAUCCAUGGUUUGAUCUCGUCGACUACUCAACGUUCUCCAAACCUCAGUCCAUAUCCGAGGAACAGGCUGUAGAACGACGACCACCAACAUCUGUAUAAUUUCGACUUCGACUUUAAUUUCUAGAACCAUUUUCGAUUUUAAUUUUUGGAACCAAUUUCAGUUUCUUUUUUAUUUUGGUUCGGUUUGGUUCUCAUCCUACUGCUAUCGAGGAACCUCAUAUUGGUUUCCUUUUCCAAUCUUGUUUGGUUCAAGAGAGAUUGAGAGACCAUCAUUGUUGGAAGCCUGGAACUGCAAUAGAGGGUCGGUGGUCGUCGGUGGUGGUGGUGGCCGGUAAGUGGUGAUGAGGAUGCUUUAUGAUUUCAAGUGUUUUGAGAGGAAAAUAAGAACAUAAAUAUACAGGUUGUAUUUUUUUUAAUACAAAAUGAAUUAUUAAUGAAUAAAAAAUAAAAUAGCAAGGGUAGUAUAGUCAUUUUAUAUUUGGUAAAGGGUUAAGUGUGCAAAUUUAAAGUAACGAGGGAUGAAGUAUGACAUUUUUAAACAAACAAGGGAUGAUCUGUGUUAGGUGCACUUCAUGCACCCAUUUUGUAGCUUUAUUUCAUAAAAGUGCAUUACAUCUAGGCUUAAAUGAUGGGUUUGAGCCAUAAGAACAUUCCUAUGUGCACAUACAAACCCUAAUGCUUGGAUCUAGGUUUCUCUAAUUGAACAUGCAAAGUAUCCAAGACUUUUGAUUAUAGGUCUAGUAUAAUAACACAAGAAAACAGAUUUAAAAAUUACCUUGACUUUCUUGCUUGAAUCUUCUUGUCCUUGGAGCUUAGAGUCACAAUUAUCACUCCUCUAAUGGCUUACAAACACCAACUUAGCAAGAGGAUGAUUGGAGAGAGAGGGGAGAGGGCAAGAAGUCGGCUAGGGUUCUUCCAAAGACUAGUGUCCCGAUUUCCUUGACCCCUUGGGUCUAUUUAUACUUGUAAGGAUCCUAGGGUUUCAUCAUUAAACCCUAAUUGGAUAACUUAGGCCCUAAGCAAUCCAAUCCCCCUUAUGAUAAGCCUUGGACGAUUUCUAGGUCUAUCCAAAGCCCUAAAACCGUCCACCCCUUAUCCUUAAGGGAUUAUAGCCCAAAGUACAACUAUCACACAUUUGACAGUUUAUGCCCCUUUAUUCAAUUAAUCUCUUUAAGUCACCAAAUUAAUUCCUAAUUAAUUUAUGACUUAUAUUAAUCAAAUAAUAAUAUUAUUAUUCCUUAUAUUAUUCUCAUAAUAUAUUAAUAAUAUUUCUUCUCUCAUUACAAAUCAUCCUGUCAAGUUGCUAUGGUGAAGGCAACCCAAAAGGACCAUGCACAACCGGAUCAAAUACUUGCCUAAUAUAGUUACAGCCUUAGACACUAUUCCAACAGUCUCCCACUUGGAUAAGUCUAGUAACUAUACAAGUACAAUUCGGUUUGCAAUCGUAGCUCUCAAAGACGCUGUCAACUCUGAUCUAAUCAAUCUUGUCCUUUAGAUAAGGGAACGUACAGUCCUCUGUUAGAUAUCAUGCUGACAAUCCUAUGGAAUGGUUAGUCAAGCAUUUAGGUUUCUCGAUCUCUGAUUUAUUUGACAUAGAACUUAAUCGAACACAUCAAUUCAGUUCUGACCGGGCCCGGCACAUAAGUCAAAUCAAAUCAUCGAGCGGCCGAGAUAUCGCUUUUACCUUCUUAGAUAAAAGUUACAGAUAAACUUCGACUUAUAUGCAUUUACUUAUUCAUUUACCAACUAUACACAACAAUACGUUUUAUAACACCAAGUUACUGAUGCGUUUUCGUAUUAUCAAUGUACAAUCAAUUAACAAAUAAUAAACCAUAUAUCUAGGUUUUAAGACUAUAUGAUAUUAUCGUCUUGCGAUCACCUUUUAUAUCGUAUUCCAUAAGGUGAUUCCAGCAAGCGCGGGUUUAUUCCAAUGCUCAAAACUAGUUCAUAAGCACUCAUGAACGUUGCAGCAAUCCUUUGCUAUGUCUAACACCAUUUAGACAUUCUACACACCAAUUCAUGACAAUCUUCAUUCAUAUCUACUCCCAACAUAUGAACGAUUGUGGACCAUUUGAACAAUUCGAUUAUUCCUAAUAAACUCAAUUAUUCUGGAAGUCAAAACAUGCAAAGUGAAACAAUAGCUAAACAAUUAACAUAAGAUAGUAACAUUACUCAUAAAUAAAACUCCUUUAUUUAAUCAUCAAAUGUUAAUUACAUUUAUCUAUUACACGUUUCUAAUACUAUCUAAUCUAUGCUAAUAUCAUCCUUCAGCCCAAUACUCCUAGCAUGCUGCAAGUGCUUAACCCUACUCAGUCCCUUCGUAAGCGGAUCUGCUGGGUUAUCUUCUGAUGAUAUCCUCUUCACUACGAGUUGUCCUUCUUCUACACGAUGUCUAAUGAAGUGAUACUUUCUGUCGAUAUGUCUUGAUCUACCAUGAUCCCUCGGUUCCUUGGUUAAGGCAACCGCACCUUCGUUAUCACAGAAAAUCUCCAUUGGCUCCUUUAUGGCAGGUACAACUCCAAGAUCACCGAUGAAGUUCUUUAGCCAUAUUGCCUCCUUCGACGCUUCGCUCGCUGCAAUGUACUCUGAUUCGCACGUUGAAUCAGCUACGGUUUCCUGCUUGGAACUCUUCCAUGUCACUGCUCCUCCAUUUAGGGUAAAGACCCAGCCCGACUGCGAACGGUAGUUGUCCCUGUCGGUCUGAAAACUGGCGUCACUAUACCCUCGCACCUUCAAGUCAUCACUCCCUCCGAGGACUAAGAACCAUUCCUUCGUCCUCCGAAGGUACUUAAGGAUAUUCUUCACCGCAAUCCAAUGUGCUUUGCCAGGAUUCCCUUGAUAUCUGCUAACCAUGCUCAAAGCGAAGGCUACAUCAGGGCGAGUACAAGUCAUAGCGUACAUGAUUGAGCCAACUGCGGAAGCGUAUGGUACUCGGCUCAUUUCUGCUAUCUCAGCUUCGGUACUCGGACUUUGAGUCUUACUCAAUUUGGCAUUACUUUGUAUCGGUAGUUCUCCCUUCUUUGAGUUUUCCAUACUAAAACGUUUUAGUACCUUCUCUAAGUAAGUAUUCUGACUAAGUCCAAUUAGUCUCUUACUUCUUUCUCUUACUAUCCUUAUUCCCAAAAUGUAAGAAGCCUCUCCGAGGUCCUUCAUAGCGAAGCACUUCCCGAGCCAGGACUUAACCUCCUGCAGAGUCGGGAUGUCGUUUCCUAUGAGUAAUAUGUCAUCGACAUAUAGAACGAGGAAGCUUACUAUACUCCCACUGGCUUUGACAUAUACACAAGAUUCGUCUUCGCUUCGUACAAAUCCAAACUCUUUGACUUUCUCAUCGAAGCAAAGAUUCCAUCUGCGAGACGCUUGCUUAAGUCCAUAAAUGGACUUCUCAAGCUUACACACUCUAUUCGGAUGCUUCGGAUCCACAAACCCCUCUGGCUGAGCCAUGUAAACAUCCUCAGCCAACUUUCCGUUAAGGAAAGCGGUCUUGACAUCCAUUUGCCAAAUCUCAUAAUCAUGAAAUGCGGCAAUUGCUAGCAUCACUCUAAUAGAUUUAAUCUUCGCAACUGGUGAGAAGGUCUCAUCAUAGUCAACUCCGGGAGUUUGAGUAAAGCCCUUCGCAACCAAUCGCGCUUUAUAUGUGUGUACGUUUCCAUCCACGUCGGUCUUCUUCUUGAAGAUCCAUUUGCACCCAACGGUCUUACGUCCGGGCACAUAAUCAACCAAAUUCCAAACUUGGUUAUCAUACAUGGAUUGGAUCUCGCUAUCCAUUGCCUCUUUCCAUUUUGCAGACUCCGGGCCUGCCAUGGCUUCCUUAUAGCUAUUAGGUUCAUCAAGAUUUAUUAGUGUACCAUCACUAAUAUACGUGUCCCCUUCGGUAGUAAUAUGAAAACCAUAAAACUGGGGUUGAACUCUAACUCUUUCGGAACGUCUAAGAGGUAAGGACUCGUCAAUCGGUUCAACCGGAGUUUCCUCCUCGGGUUGAGUGCCAGCGGUAGAGGUUCCUUCAUCUAUCGAUUCUUGAAUCUCUUCAAGCUCGAUUUGCCUCCCACUGUCUCCUUGGCUUAUGAGUUCUCGCUCUCGGAAAACUCCUCUCCUCGCAACGAAGACAACAUUGUCCUUCGGUCUAUAGAAGAGAUAUCCAAAGGAUGUCUGCGGGUAGCCGAUGAAAAUACAUCGCUCACUUCGAGGUUCAAGCUUGUCGUGAGUAUCUCGUCUUACGAAAGCCUCGCAACCCCAAACCUUGAUAUGUGCCAACGAGGGAGCUUUCCCUGUCCACAUCUCGUGAGGUGUUUUGGCAACCUUCUUAGUAGGGACUCGGUUAAGGAUAUGGGCGGCAGUCUCUAAGGCAUACCCCCAAAAAGAGAUAGGUAGUGAAGCACGACUCAUCAUAGAGCGAACCAUAUCCAAUAAGGUUCGAUUACGCCUUUCUGCCACACCAUUCAACUGCGGUGUCCUAGGAGGCGUCAAUUGUGAAACUAUUCCACACUCCUUGAGAUAAUCGUGGAAUUCAAGACUUAGGUACUCUCCUCCUCGAUCGGAUCGAAGCAUCUUGAUUUUCCUGCCCAAUUGAUUCUCCACUUCAUUCUUGAACUCUUUGAACUUUUCAAACGUUUCUGACUUUUGCUUGAUUAAGUAGAUAUACCCAUAUCUACUAUAGUCAUCGGUAAAAGUCACAUAGAAGCGGUUCCCAUCCUUUGUGGUUGAUCUAAACGGUCCACAUACAUCGGUAUGUAUGAGGUCCAAUAAACCCUCACCCCUUUCACAUGUACUAGUGAAGGGUGACUUGGUCAUCUUUCCAAGUAAACAAGACUCGCAUGUGUCAUCUUCCCUAAGGUCGAAUGACUCCAACACUCCAUCCUUUUGGAGUUGGGCUAUGCGCUUCUUGUUGACAUGUCCAAGACGACAAUGCCACAAGGAUGCUCUAUCCAUACUAUUGGAAGAAUCCAUGCAUAAAACAUCAUUUCCUAGGUUAUCUACAAUCAUAACAGUUUCAUAAAUUCCAUUACAUGGUAUUGCUUCAAAAUAUAAGACACCAUUUAGAUAAGCAUAAAUAGAACCAUUCUCAUUAUUAAAAGAAAAUCUAAAUCCUUGUCUAAACAAACCAUGAAAUGAAAUGAUGUUUCUUGCCAUUUCUGGCGAAUAGCAACAAUUGUUCAAAUCUAAACAUAAACCAUUCCUAAGCACUAAAGAAUACACUCCAAUCUUGGUCACAGGCGACGAUCUUCUGUUCCCCAUGAUUAGAUUUAUUCUUCCAUGCUCCACAUCCCUAUUUCUUCUUAGUCCCUGCAAUUCAGAACAAAUGUGGUAACCACACCCGGUAUCUAGGACCCAAGAAAUAGCAUGAGAUGAAUCAUUAGAUUUAAUUGUGUAUAUACCUGCGAAAGACGGCUUGAUCUUUCCUUCCCUGAUGGCUUGCAGGUAUUCUGGGCAGCUUCUCUUCCAAUGCCCUAUUUUGUGGCAAUGGUGGCACUCUGCCUCCUUUGGGUUUGGGUUGGGCUUAUCAGGAUCAACUUUGGUCCCACUAGAAGAGGAACCAUCUCGGGACUUUCCCUUGUGGUAGCUCUUAGAUGGAGCCUUCCUCUUCUUACCUCUUCCUUGCCCAAUUGCCAAAACAGGAGCAACUGGUGGAUUGGGAGUUGGUGCAACAGACUUGUCCUUGAGGUUGCUCUCAGCAACCCUUAGGAGACCUUGGAGCUUACUUAGGGUGACCUCUUCCUUGUUCAUGUGGUAGGUCAUCCUAAAUUGAUUGUAACACGGAGGCAAGGAGUGAAGCACCAUGUCGAUAGCCAAGUCUUCCCCAAAGUCAACAUUCAACUUGCGAAGACGAUCGACAUACCUUUGCAUCUUUUGCAGGUGCACGGUUAGAGAUUCUCCAUGACCCAUUUUAGCGGAGAUCAUGUUAGUGAAGAUCUCGUAACGCUCCUGCCUCGCGUUUUGAUGGUAUCUCUCCAAUAAGUCUUGGUGUAUUUCGUAUGGAUACAUGUCCUCGUAGGACUUUUGGAAUUCAACGUUCAUUGUGGCUAUCAUGAUGCAAUGAACCUUCGUUGCAUCACAUUCAUGAGUCUCAAAAGCAGUCAUUUCAGCCGGAGUAGCGAUUUCUGGGUUGAUCUUCUCGAGCUUCUCAUCGAGGACAUACUCCUUGUUCUCGUAGCGAGCAAUCGUGCAAAUGUAUCUUAUCCAUUCGCUAAAGUUCGUUCCAUCGAAAGUCACCUUUUGGCAAAGGCUCAUCUAUGUGAAUGAACUAGCAGCAUCGUUGUUCGAGUUCGACAUCUACAAAUAGAAAGGACAAAGAUUGAUUAGAAUUAAAAUCCCUAAUUAUCACCCAAUAUGAAAAAUUAGGGCUAGGAUCCAACAACAUUAUUUACAUAUUAGAAAAGGGAUGCCGUAAUCCAACAUGCAAACAAUUUGAAGGUAAGUGAAUGACGAUUCACUAAUUCUCCACCAUGAAAACAUAACCUUAAGUUCUAAAUGUAUUGAGAAUUCCUAGGUUUCGAUGAGAUUCAUUGAACUUUUCAAUGGCAUGUUUAAAUCUCGAUAUGCCCCUCUCGUUUGUGACUGGGAUACCGAGGAUCACAAAGUGGGUGUGAAUAACCAUGCAAAUCUACACGGUGCCUUCAUUGUAACAAUCACCUAUUCGAUGUGCCGGUAAACCACACACGCUCCAUCGAACUAUGAUAAACAAUGAAUCACCCUUUGCCACCUUUGCUUAGAACCAAUUAGUGUGCCGGUAAACCACACACGCUCCACUAACUUCUUAGCAAGGGUGCAAAGUGUAAUUUCAUGGGAUUGCAUCAAUUCACUUUUCCUAAAGUAACUAGGAUUGGGAAUUUUUAAAAAAAUGUAGUUACUUUGUAUUUCAUAUUAUACUUUUAAUGAGGAGAUGAGGUUGCCCUAUCCUACCCGUUCGGCUAACGACCCUCCACCGAUCAAGCAAGCGGUGGGUGUGAGUGUACACCCAUUAAGCGUCAUUUUAUAGGCCGCAACCUUAUACCCACCUUAUAGACCGGCUUCGUGAAUGAGGCCUACUAACGGUAAGACUAGCAUUUUAAUUAUACAUAUAUAUAUAUAUAUAUAUAUAUAUAUUAAUCUUGUAAUAUUAUAUUAGUAUAGGGUUGAAUUUUAAACUUGUAAAAUUCUAGGGUUUGAAAUUUAAAUUGUCUAAAUUAAACUUUUAAUCACAAAACAUAAAUUUCAAAACUUGAGGGCAAGUUUUAAACUUUUCAAAACAUAGGGGAUCAAAUAACAAAUAAUCCAAAUUAACAUUUAAUCACAUAAUUAUCCAUAUUUGAUUUAUUUAAUUAUUUCUUGCAAAACAAUUUACCAAUUUAAUUAAAAUAAUUAAUCAAUUAUCACAUAAGGAAAUUAAUAUUCAAUUAAUUGAUAAAUAUCUUCAAUUAGGUCAAGAAUAUACUCAAAUAUAUCAUAAAAUCGGAUUUAUAUUGACCUAUUAAGAUUAAGGUAAGUAUCCAAAAGAUAAACAACAAGAAAUCCCGAAAUUAGCUCUUUCUGACGCUCGAACUCGCCGAGUACCACAAUGGACUCGCCGAGUUGAGCCUACUCGCCGAGUCCACUAUGGGACUCGCCGAGUUCAUCAGGCAGAAUCACAAAAUUCGAAUUUUGCAAGCAACAAACAAGCAACCAAUGCAUCAAUUCAAUAGAAACCAAUCUAGGCUCUGAUACCACUGAUGGGUUUUAGCCAUAUGAACAUUCCUAUGUGCACAUACAAACCCUAAUGCUUGGAUCUAGGUUUCUCUAAUUGAACAUGCAUUGAAUCCAAGACUUCUAAUGACUAUUAGAGUAUAAUAACAUAAGAAAUCAGAUUUGAAAGAUUACCUUGAAUCACUUGCUUGAAUCUUCUUGUCCUUGGAGCUUAGAGUCACAAUUGUCACUCCUCUAAUGGCUUACAAACACCAACUUAGCAAGAGGAUGAUUGGAGAGAGAGGGGAGAGGGCAAGAAGUCGGACAGGGUUCUUCCAAAGACUAGUGUCCCGAUUUCCUUGACCCCUUGAGUCUAUUUAUACUUGUAAGGCUCCUAGGGUUUCAUCAUUAAACCCUAAUUGGAUAACUUAGGCCCUAAGCAAUCCAAUCCCCCUUAUGAUAAGCCUUGGACGAUUUCUAGGUCUAUCCAAAGCCCUAAAACCGUCCACCCCUUAUCCUUCAGGGAUUAUAGCCCAAAGUACAACUAUCACACAUUUGACAGUUUAUGCCCCUUUAUUCAAUUAAUCUCUUUAAGUCACCAAAUUAAUUCCUAAUUAAUUUAUGACUUAUAUUAAUCAAAUAAUAAUAUUAUUAUUCCUUAUAUUAUUCUCAUAAUAUAUUAAUAAUAUUUCUUCUCUCAUUACAAAUCAUCCUGUCAAGUUGCUAUGGUGAAGGCAACCCAAAAGGACCAUGCACAAUCGGAUCAAAUACUUGCCUAAUAUAGUUGUAGCCUUAGACACUAUUCCAACAUUAAACUCAUGCAUUUUACAUGUUUUUCAGGAUUUUGCAUGAUACUAUUUCAGUCGCACACUUUUGUGAUAUUUCAGGAACUUUUGGAGGUGGGAUCUUACUUGAAGAGGUGAAUAAAAUUUGAGGACAAGAUUUCAUGACUUGUGGAGCACCAGGAAGGAAGAUAUUGAAGAAUUGAAGAUUGCAGUCAUUCAGGGAUUUACACGGCCGUGUAAACGUAAGGCAUGAGUUUACGUGGGCCGCAUAUCUGAAUCUACAAAUGUAGUUUGAGUGUUCUACUUUUUGUGUUUACGCGGGCUGCAUAAACGAUAAUGUUAAUUUACGCGGGUCGUGUAAACGUGGACAUGGGUUUUAAUGCAGUUUUUCAUCUUUCUUAAAAGGGGUAACCGAUUUCGUCUUUUGUCUUGUCGAUUUUGGGAGCUUUGGGGGCAAUUUUCUGGAUGAUUUUGGAGUCAAUUAACACUUGGAAACACUUGGAUUUCAGUUGGAUUUCAUUUUUUAAGAACUUUAACUUCAUUUUUUAGAUUUGUGUUCUUGUUCUAGUCUUGUGUGGCUAGAACCAUAGAUUCUCCAACCUUAUGUUUUGACUUCUUAGUUGUGAUUUUAAUCAUAUUACUUGAUGUUUUUUAAUUUCUAUCUAGUGAAUUUGAUUUUGCUUUACUCAAAUGUUUGAUUCUAAUUGUGAUUCUUAUUGACGAUUUGAAUUAGGGUUAGGUCAUUCAAUUUAUCUAAUUGCAAAAUCCAUAAUUGUUUUGUGAAUUGGACUAAGUAACAAACACUAAACUGAUUUCCAUUGAAUGAACUUAGUGUAAAUCUUAUUCAUACACUCUUACGCUCCCGAGCUUUUGAGGAGUAUUGGGUGUUGUUGGGAACAUUCAUAUAAAGUUUAAUGCAUUCUUUCAAUCUAAUUCUAAGAGCUUGUUUAGAUUAGGUUAGUAAGGUUAGGGUUAAUCAAAGAGCUUGUUUUGGUUAAUUAAUGUAGUGAAUGGGAAGUGUUAGUGCUUGUUAACACUUUCAAGUACCAACUUAGAUAGAAUUGAGCAAUUAUCUAGUCAUCUUUGAAUCGCAUUGCUAAGUUGUCAUACAUAAAGUUGGAGUCCUUACAAUUUCUGAAUUCAAUUCACUCAUUUAGUCGAUUACGUGGGUUUUAAAGCAGUUUUUCAUCUUUGUUAAAAGGGGGCAACCAAUUUCAUCUUUUGUCCUGUCGAUUUUGGGAUUUUGUAGAGGAUUUUGGAGUCAAUUAACACUUGGAAACAUUUGGAUUUCAUUUGGAUUUCAUUUUGUAAGAACUUUAACUUCAUUAUUUAGAUUUAUGUUCUUGUUCUAGUCAUGUGUAGCUAGAACCCUAGAUUCUCCAACCUUAUGUUUUGACUUCUUAGUUGUGAUUUCAAUCAUAUGACUUGAUGCUUGCUUUUAAUUUCUAUCUAGUGAAUUUGAUUUUACUUUAAUCAAAUGUUUGAUUCUAAUUGUGAUUUUUAUUGGCCAUUUGAAUUAGGGUUAGGUCAUUCAAGUUAUCUAAUUGCAAAAUCCAUAACUGUUUUGUGAAUUGGACUAAGUAAUAAACACUAAACUGAUUUCCAUUGAAUGAACUUAGUGUAAAUCUUAUUCAUACACUCUUACGCUCCCGAGCUUGUGAGGAGUAUUGAGUAUUGUUGGGAACAUUCAUAUAAAGUUUAAUGCAAUCUUUUAAUCUAAUUCUAAGAGCUUGUUUAAAUUAGGUUAGUAAGGUUAGGGUUAAUCAAAGAGUUUGUUUUGGUUAACUAAUGUAGUGAAUGGGAAGUGUUCGAGCUUGUUAACACUUUCAAGUACCAAAGUACCUUGCACAAAGAUGUAUAAACUGAUUGUCCCGUGUCUCUGUGGUUCGAUCCUACUUGCUUUGUACUACCUUUUAAUGCAAUAUAGUAGUGUUCUUAAGGAGUAUAUCGUACCCCUUUAUUUGUUGGGUUUGACACACCUAACAGUCCGAGUUAAUUUUUAAAAAUAGGGACUGAACGUGUCUUUUGACACCUGCACGAAGGACGAUUCGUGUAAUUUACUCUAACACAAAAAACAAGAAAUAGCAUUCUAAUUUAAUAUCGGUUCAUUUUAGAAUCUUACUAUCACUUCAUAUAUUAAAUAGAUAAAACCAACAUACUGAAGAUUAAACUUGAAAGAUUAUGUAUGAACAUCAAAAAACGAAAUCAAAAAUAAAACAAAACAUGAAUAAAUUCUUGGAUAUAAAAACUUUCCUCCAUGCUACCUAGACUACUAGCUUUUGAAAGUUUUACAGUCAAUCCUGCAAAGGAGGUCUGCAACUAAAAAAAUAAAAUAAGAAAAAAUGGAUCAAAAAUUGAGAAUAAUAAUUAUAAAUCAUCUUUUUACCCAUUUCAUAGGCAGAGUUGGUUCUAGAUAUUGAAAUUAGUUCGGGAACAAUAUAAGACUGUAGGCGAGUUGUUUUUCUAGUUCCAGUUUUUCCAUGUUUUAUAUGUCUUGGAACCAUCACGAACGUAUUUUAUAUAAAAGGUAUUUACAAAAAAAAAAGGUUUAGUUUUUGCUAACAGUGAGUUGAAAGAGUUCAUGAAGGUAAAAAUUAACCAAGAAAAGAUGAUAUACAUCAAUGUAACUAACUAUUAACUGUAAAGUGGAUCCAAAACCUCAUUAUAAUGUCAUCAAUAUUAACUGUGAGUGGUUCGAAAAUUAAGAUGUUAUUAUCAAUUUUGAACGAAUAAUUAUAAAACAACAUAAAAUUUAUUAUUUAUAUUGUACUAACCAAUAAGAAGAAAAGUAAUGCAUAUAAAAAAACAAAAAAUGAAAACCAAACACUUCAACUGACAGCUAUUGUUUUGUUUAGUAUAUUUUUACAAACACUUUAUUUGUUUCAAACAGUAGAAAAGAUGUCACGUUGCAUUCACAUGAAACCGUUGACUGUAAAUCCUCCAUCAACAGCAAUUGUUUGACCAGUAAUGUAAGAAGCAGCAGGCAAACAAAGGAAGGCCACAAGAGAUGAAACCUCAUUUGCUUCUCCAAGGCGUUUCAAAGGAGUUCUAGAUGCCACACUAUCCAAAAACUCCUUGUUAUCAAGUACCUAUAUACAAAUAAAGACAUAACAGAUCAUGGUGUACUGUGUUUGGUAUGCAUUGGACUUAAACCAACUGAUACAGACCGAUGCCACCUUAAAAGAUAGGACAAAGUGGGACAGAGAAUCACUAUCAAUCUGUCAGAUAAUCUGUGCAAAAAGACGAAAAUGCCCUCUUCAUCCCCAUUAUAAAAUAAAGGCACUAGAAAAGUUGUCGACAAAAGAAAGGCAAGAUGAAGGAAGAUUACCUCUUCAAUAAGAGAGGUCUUAGUGAACCAUGGUGCUACACAAUUACUCCGAAUGUUGUCUUUCGCCCAUUCACAUGCUAAAUUCUUUGUAAGUUGAUUCAUAGCAGCUGCGAAUGUAAAACACACAGGUUAAAACCAGACACAGGUUAAAACCAGAAGGGCAUUCAUGUCUUUUGCACAAACGAGAGAAAGAGAAUGAGUGCCUGUUCCACGUUGUUCCUUUUUUUUAUGGGUGCAUGUUAACAAAGGGGCAUAAAUGUAAAUUAUGCAACCAUUCUCAUACCUUUAAUGGCACUGUAAACAGACCCAACACCAACAUGAACCAGACCUGCAACAGAGGAAAUAAACACAAUGCUUCCAGCUCCAGAAGCUUUUAAAAGAGGAUGUGCAAGUUGACUCAUAUGGUAAGAAGACUCCAAAUUAGUAGACAUGAGCAUUGAAUACAGUUCUGGAGUAUACUCUGUAGUAGGUUUUCUAAUGUUUGUCCCCACAUUGUUUAUCUACAAGCAAGAAAUCUAUGCAAGUAAGUUUUAUGAAGAGUGCAAAAUUAAGUUCGUAUCAUCAUUUCAAGAAUGAAAUACUAAUCCAACAGCAAUAUUAAGCAAUUAACGAUUCAUUGUGAUAAUGUUUGCGCAAAAGUGUGUUGCACAUGUCUAAAACCUAACAGGUUGAAUGUGACUCCGAAAUUAGUACCUUAAACCUCACAUAAUCGUCAAAUUAUCAAUUCCCGCUCACAAAAAAUUGAGCUAUUAGCAUCAAUUUCAACUGGUGAAGCAAUUAUGUUUGAAUUUGUAAACAUGAUCUAGAGUAAAAAGUUAAGUUUCGUGGGAACACAAGUAGAAGAGCUUACUAAGAUGUUGAGCUUGCCACCGAAAAGCGACGAGACUUGUUCGACAAGCUGUUCUCGUUGAGGACGAGAAGAUAAGUCGCAGACGCAUCCUGUGACGUUGAAGCACUUGGCUGACCAUUCUUGUAACCGUUGGUUAAGUUCAGCUUCGUUGCGAGAGCAGGUGUGCACCGCCGCCCCUAACUCCGCCAGUUCCUCGACUACCGCGUAGCCGAUUCCACGUGUACCACCGGUGACGAGAGCAGUU